Long non-coding RNA from Brassica rapa (field mustard), 2328 nucleotides. RefSeq lists it as uncharacterized. Lineage: Eukaryota; Viridiplantae; Streptophyta; Magnoliopsida; Brassicales; Brassicaceae. The record is from RefSeq and is a predicted model, not a curated record.
AAACGAUCAAGUUACUAGAUUACACUUCUUCACCAUUUUCCCAAAUGGUUUUCAACUUGCCAAACUUAUAUCAGCGAUGCUCAAACACUUGGUAGAGUAACAUUGUAGGCCAACAAUAACUGGUCCUCUUCAAAAUACUUAUUUCCUUAAUAUCCUAAUUGAGCUCAGUAGCUAGAUAGCCAAUCUCAUUCUAGAUAGAAGCAUACCGCUCUAACGGAAGUAUUAUGGAAUGAGGAAGGCAUACCAUUAAUUUAACUGGCAGCCAAUACUUCCAAGAAUAAGAACGGUAGACUUGAAUUCACAAAAGUGAAUCCCUUCUAAUACUAUGACAGUGCUCGGGAACUACAACUAUGUGUUGUUCCCGAAUAAAAUACAAUAUGGGGGGAGAAUUCCAUCCAUAGGCAAGGUCUCUUACCACACCUUGAUCACAAUUCACAUAAUUUUUUUUUAUUUCAAUCAUUCAUUAAAUUUUAAAAAUGCACAAACACACACAAUGGGAUAAGAAGCAAACAUGUGAUUGGACCUUUCAGGGGUUUUGACGGUACAUGCAACUAUAAUGUGUAGGCUCUAAAUAGCCUAACACUUGGGUGUGGACUAACGGUAAGGAAAAGCGAACAAGUUUAACAAGUGUUAUCUUAGGUAUAGGUAACGUAGAUCGGGUAACUUCAUGAGGAAGGGUAAACUAAAAUCCUAACUCUUCACAAGAACCACCAAAGCGCUAAUGAUGAAAAUGUUCCAGGAUUUCCCACACUUUGACAGUCACGACCAUUCUAUUCUUGCUAGUCACAACCAUAACGGCUCAAGGUCCUCGAUCUUGAUCUGAUGAAAUGUACACCCAAAAUCAUCCCCAAUGACUUACUUAACUCACUGCUUGAAACUGACCUAUGAUCUGCAGCGGUUGGAAAAUAAACGGUCUGCAUGACUUGGUUAACUUCUUCAGCAAUAAUAGCUUCUUUAACAUUUCCUUGAAGCUUUGAAACUCCAUGGUCUUUUAUCUACUCCAAAACUCUUGGCUAAGUUUCCAAAGAUUUUCUGUGUGAUCAUUGGCUUAUUCUCCAAACCAUAAUCGAUAAAUCAAAUUCACUCGACCACAUAUCUCAAUGCUAAAAUUGUUUUAUAUGAUUAACUCGACCUUAACCUCCUGGCAGAAACAUCUCAGUGUACCAACUCUGUAAACUGAAUGUUCAAUUGGUCCCAUACCUUGUGUAAAAAAUACUACUUCUUGAACUCAUGAAAUCUGUCCAACUCGAACUCAACUCUCUGAAGUAAUUCUUGACUCUUGACCAACAACUCAUAGCAUUCAUCUUCAAAUAGCUUGCUGCCAAAUCCUUCUUGUAAUUCUCUGAACAACGGUCACAUCAAUAUUCUGCUCUGAGUGUUGCAUCUCAAAUCUUCCUCAAGCAAAGUAUGCCUCGAACGUUUUAGUCCACCUUCAGUAUCUUGUGGUCCCACUACUUUUUUCAAUCAUACGCUUCAAGAUGUAUUGUUGCCAACAGAAAGGUGCAUGUGUGUCCAUCGUCUUGUACUACAGCCGAACCAUCUCUUCCUCCAACGCUAAGAUCCAAACAAAUGUUGAACAAUUCAUGCUUGUAUGGCUCUGGUGCCUGUAGGUCUCAGCAUAAGCUGGUUAGAAUUGAGAAGCCGGAAGACUAAGUGCAUCUGAGUGAUCAUGUGCAGUCGAAUCGUACUGAAUCGGAUCACAAACAAUGACCAACUUGACAUCGAUAACACAUGAGUCUGGAGAUGUAUUCGAUGUAUCAAAUCUGUCCCAUAUAUCUCUCUAAUGAAUUAGUAUCCCCUACGAGAACUCAAAAGAACGGCAGAAAGUCAUGUGGUUAUUGACUCCUAACAAGCCGGUAAUGAACCCCACCAUGAGGGUAGCAAACUCGAGCCUGAUGAUAGUAACAUCGGUAAGUACAGUCACCCGUUCAAGCUUGUCUCGGUGCUUAUGCUAUGAAAGAUCACUGUUAGAUAACUACCCAUGACUAUCUAUCCUAAAAUGAAGGAACCAGCCAGCAUAUCCUAGUUAUCCUUGCGACUCAUUUUGACUCGAAAAACAUUUGAAACAAGUCCCAUUCUAGCAUCGUAUAACCAUGCUCUGAUACCACCUUUGUGACACCCCCGAUCGUAGAUGACUAGAAAUGACACAGUCGAUGUUCCUCGAUGGUUGAUCCGAGGUUCUCAUAAUACUUCUGAUUGCCUUAGACCAACAACCAAAGAACACCAACACCCCUAUCAGAUAUCACACUAGGCUUUUCAACGCGAAAAAGCAAUAACUGAUAGUUAGUUCGUCCGGACAAGGACUAAUAUCAUAUGGAACCAGUAGUU